Molecule: ribosomal RNA, 1317 nt
Filed under: metagenome
Description: bacterial LSU rRNA
Rfam family: Bacterial large subunit ribosomal RNA
Source: RNAcentral
CACGUCAAGCUUCCAAGAAAAGCCCUAUACCCGUUAAGGCAUCAUGGCCUGUACCCGAAACCGACACAGGUGGGGUGGUAGAGAAUACCGAGGGGCGCGAGGUAACUCUCUCUAAGGAACUCGGCAAAAUGGCCCCGUAACUUCGGGAGAAGGGGUGCCAGCGAGAGCUGGUCGCAGUGAAGAGGCCCAGGCGACUGUUUACCAAAAACACAGGUCUCCGCUAAGUCGCAAGACGAUGUAUGGGGGCUGACGCCUGCCCAGUGCCGGAAGGUUAAGGAAGCUGGUUAGCGCAAGCGAAGCUGGCGACUGAAGCCCCGGUGAACGGCGGCCGUAACUAUAACGGUCCUAAGGUAGCGAAAUUCCUUGUCGGGUAAGUUCCGACCCGCACGAAAGGCGUAACGAUCUGGGCGCUGUCUCGGAGAGAGGCUCGGCGAAAUAGAAUUGUCUGUGAAGAUGCGGACUACGUGCACCCGGACAGAAAGACCCUAUGAAGCUUUACUGUAGCUUGGUAUUGUGCACGGGCUCGGAAUGCGCAGGAUAGGUGGGAGGCUUGGAUCCAUUGCUUGCGGGUGAUGGUGAGCCACUGGUGAGAUACCACUCUUUUCGAGCUUAAGUUCUAACCCUUACCCGUUAUCCGGGGAGGGGACAGUAUCAGGUGGGCAGUUUGACUGGGGCGGUCGCCUCCUAAAAGGUAACGGAGGCGCGCAAAGGUUCCCUCAGGCUGGUUGGAAAUCAGCCGACGAGUGCAAAGGCAGAAGGGAGCUUGACUGUGAGACCUACAAGUCGAACAGGGACGAAAGUCGGCCUUAGUGAUCCGACGGUUCUGCGUGGAAGGGCCGUCGCUCAACGGAUAAAAGUUACUCUAAGGAUAACAGGCUGAUCUCCCCCAAGAGUUCACAUCGACGGGGAGGUUGGCACCUCGAUGUCGGCUCAUCGCAACCUGGGGCUGAAGUCGGUCCCAAGGGUUGGGCUGUUCGCCCAUUAAAGCGGUACGCGAGCUGGGUUCAGAACGUCGUGAGACAGUUCGGUCCAUAUCCGGUGCACGCGCAGGAAUAUUGAGAGGAUUUCUCCCUAGUACGAGAGGACCGGGAGGAACGCACCUCUGGUGUGCCAGUUAUCGUGCCAACGGUAAACGCUGGGUAGCCAUGUGCGGAGAGGAUAACCGCUGAAAGCAUCUAAGUGGGAAGCCCACCUCAAGAUGAGUAUUCCCAUGGCAUAAGCCAGUAAGGUCACGGGAAGAUUACCCGUUGAUAGGCUCUACGUGGAAGCGCAGUAAUGUGUGAAGCGGAGGGGUACUAAUAGACCGAGGGCUUGACC